This 238-nucleotide unclassified non-coding RNA is filed under the name uncultured fungus. RNAcentral describes it as "sequence contains ITS2". Lineage: Eukaryota; Fungi. The record is from RNAcentral.
AACGCACAUUGCGCCCUUUGGUAUUCCGAAGGGCAUACCUGUUCGAGCGUCAUUACAACCCUCAAAUUGCAUGAUUUGAUGUUGGGCCGCGCCCGGAGAGGGCGCGCCUGAAAGGCAGUGACGGUUGCCAGUCCGACCUAGGCGUACAAGUAUCGCGAUAGGGACGAUUGGGGGCCUGUCUUGAACUCCACAUCCACAUGUUGACCUCGGAUCAGGUAGGGAUACCCGCUGAACUUAA